RNAcentral lists this ribosomal RNA (101 nucleotides) under Nitrosopumilales archaeon CG15_BIG_FIL_POST_REV_8_21_14_020_37_12. RNAcentral describes it as "partial 23S ribosomal RNA". It matches the Rfam family "Bacterial large subunit ribosomal RNA", at positions 2768 to 2871 of the family's 2925-position model. The record is from RNAcentral. Lineage: Archaea; Thermoproteati; Nitrososphaerota; Nitrososphaeria; Nitrosopumilales.
GUGCUGAAAGCAUCUAAGCACGAAUCCCAUCCCGAGACAAGUUAUUCUUUCGUAAGAUGAAGGUCGGCAGCAGAAGACUGCGUUGAUAGGAAGGUGGUGUA